GAAAUAGUUGAAGAUCCGGUGAACAGCGAUGUGGCUCUUCCUUUCCGCCAUUAAACCAGCAUGGACAAGCAAGGAAAUCCUGUUAGACUCGCUAAAGUUACUAAAAUUUUAGGCCGUACUGGCUCGCAAGGGCAAUGUACCCAAGUUCGCGUCGAAUUUAUCGAUGAACAGAACCGUUCUAUCAUCCGUAACGUUAAAGGCCCAGUUCGUGAAGGCGACAUUUUGACUCUUCUCGAAUCUGAAAGAGAAGCAAGAAGACUCCGAUAGGUAAUUAUUAAAACCUUUCACUCAUAGACAAGUGUUCGAUAGCACGCUGCAUAAGCACGAUGCAUUUUAACUCAAAAUUCUGACGUGUUGUCGAACCACGUGCUACGUAGAGCAACCCACUUCCAGCUCCUAAGAGAUAAGAAAUUCGUUUCUUAGGCGUUUUCCCUUGUGGGAGAUUAGUAUCUUUGAUCUAUAUUUAGUAUUGAUAUAUAAAUGCUAGAUACGCUUGCAAAGUUACAACUCUAAUAAUUUUUUUCUCUGCAGAUUUCGUGAACUGUCCAAAGAAGAUCAGACAGGUCCGUCAGAUGUCUAUUGUUAUGGCGUUAUAAAUGUACAUUUCACUUGCGAAUAAAAAAAUUACAUGAUCAGAUAUUGUUAUGUUUGUUAUUUAUUUUCUUUAAAAAAUACAAUAAAUUGUUCUG
RNAcentral lists this unclassified non-coding RNA (689 nucleotides) under Dimorphilus gyrociliatus. RNAcentral describes it as "40S ribosomal protein S28". The record is from RNAcentral. Lineage: Eukaryota; Metazoa; Annelida; Polychaeta; Dinophilidae.